AGUGAACGCUGGCGGCAGGCCUAACACAUGCAAGUCGAACGGCAGCACAGUGAUUGCUUGCGCUUACGGGUGGCGAGGGGCGGACGAUGCCGGGAAAUAUCCGAAUCUGCUUUUUCGUAGGGCUUAACGUAGGGGAACUUACUCCAUUACCGCAUACGACCUACGUGGGAGAGCAUGGGAUCUUUUGACCUUGCGGGAUUGAAUGACCGGAUGUCUGAUUGGUUGGUUGGCGGGGUAAAGGCCCACCAAGGCGACGAUGCGUGGCUGGUCUGAUAGGAUGAUCAGCCACCCUGGAAGUGAGACACGGUCCAGACUCCUACGGGAGGCAGCAGUGGGGAAUAUUGGACAAUGGGCGAAAGCCUGAUCCAGCCAUACCGCGUGGGUGAAGAAGGCCUUCGGGUUGUAAAGCCCUUUUGUUGGGAAAGAACAGCAGCAGGUUAAUACCAAGCUGUUCUGACGGUACCGAGAGAAUAAGCACCGGCUAACUUCGUG
This 492-nucleotide ribosomal RNA is filed under the name uncultured bacterium. Its description in RNAcentral is "partial 16S ribosomal RNA". It matches the Rfam family "Bacterial small subunit ribosomal RNA", at positions 29 to 507 of the family's 1533-position model. The record is from RNAcentral.